This 299-nucleotide unclassified non-coding RNA is filed under the name Hevea brasiliensis (rubber tree). The record is from RNAcentral. Lineage: Eukaryota; Viridiplantae; Streptophyta; Magnoliopsida; Malpighiales; Euphorbiaceae.
AAGCCAAUGAAGGGAAAUCGAUGGUAGAUGGAUAACCUUGAAUCAUUUAGCUAGGAGAAGAAGGGAAUUUUGGGGAAAGAUUGUUGGGAUUAGGGAUUUCUCUUUUCCUCUUGAGAGUAUGUCUCCCGAAAAGUUCCAACUCUAUUAGCCGCUAAACACACAGAAGACAUAUAGAUCAGAGGAUAUCACUGAGGAUGAUAAAAGUUAUUAUUCUUCCACCCACCGCUUUCUCUUCGGUUCCCAAACAGGGGAAAGUCAGAAUUUCACCGUACUUUUUACCGGUUAUUUUCCUUCCCCCC